GAAGCAUGCUCAUGGCAAUACCCGGAGUCUCCACUGCAAGACCAGAGUGACGGAGGCAGCAGAGCUCCUCAGCAGGCCAGGAGUCUCCAGAGGCACUGCCGAAUGUCUAAGAAGCAACCUCAUUGUAUUCCCAAGACCUGGGAAUCCAGGUCUCGCAGAUACGAUGAUACAAUCUAUAGCCAGGACAUCUCUUCAUGUGUAGUUUUCAAUGAAUACUAGGAUAAGCAACUAUCCCAGUCUUCCCAGGAUUGAG
Molecule: long non-coding RNA, 253 nt
Filed under: Homo sapiens (human)
Lineage: Eukaryota; Metazoa; Chordata; Mammalia; Primates; Hominidae
Description: non-protein coding GMDS-DT:131
Source: RNAcentral